Non-coding RNA from Xyrichtys novacula (pearly razorfish), 1142 nucleotides. The record is from the annotation of a GenBank genome assembly. NCBI's taxonomy places the organism in Eukaryota, Metazoa, Chordata, Actinopteri, Labriformes, Labridae.
UUUGUGUCAACGGCGCAACAGAAAAGAACAGAAAAGUUUAAGCACAUGAAGGACCGCAGAGCGUCAUUCCUCUUCAAAAAGUGAUUCACAUUAGCGACUCUAUUGAUCUAGGUGGAACUUAUAAUAUGGUUUGUAUAUUGUUUGAAUAAAAGUGGAAUUAAAGUAAUGCGUAACUGGCGAUACGUGUGUGUGUGUGUGUGUGUGUGUGUGUGUGUGUGUGUGUGUGUGUGUGUGUGUGUGUGUGUGGUGGACACAACGUCACGUGGGCUCUCGAAGGGAGCUGUUCACCUGUCUUUGGUGCUGAAAUGGCUUUUCGGCUGUGGUAUAUUGUGUGUGGUGGCUUUGAUUCCUGUGCGUUGGUUGUGCGCCGUUGACGCCUUUGUGUCAACGGCGCAACAGAAAAGAACAGAAAAGUUUAAGCACAUGAAGGACCGCAGAGCGCCAUUCCUCUUCAAAAAGUGAUUCACAUCAGCGACUCUAUUGAUCUAGGUGGAACUUAUAAUAUGGUUUGUAUAUUGUUUGAAUAAAAGUGGAAUUAAAGUAAUGCGUAACUGGCGAUACGUGUGUGGGUGUGUGUGUGUGUGUGUGUGUGUGGUGGACACAACGUCACGUGGGCUCUCGAUGGGAGCUGUUCACCUGUCUUUGGUGCUGAAAUGGCUUUUUGGCUGUGGUAUAUUGUGUGUGGUGGCUUUGAUUCCUGUGCGUUGGUUGUGCGCCGUUGACGCCUUUGUGUCAACGGCGCAACAGAAAAGAACAGAAAAGUUUAAGCACAUGAAGGACCGCAGAGCGUCAUUCCUCUUCAAAAAGUGAUUCACAUCAGCAACUCCAUUGAUCUAGGUGGAACUUAUAAUAUGGUUUGUAUAUUGUUUGAAUAAAAGUGGAAUUAAAGUAAUGCGUAACUGGCGAUACGUGUGUGUGUGUGUGUGUGUGUGUGUGGUGGACACAACGUCACGUGGGCUCUCGAUGGGAGCUGUUCACCUGUCUUUGGUGCUGAAAUGGCUUUUUGGCUGUGGUAUAUUGUGUGUGGUGGCUUUGAUUCCUGUGCGUUGGUUGUGCGCCGUUGACGUCUUUGUGUUUUUAUUAUUGUCACGCUGUGUCGAUCUUGACCAUUUGAUAUUGUGAGCUCUUAAACACUGACAUUU